Molecule: ribosomal RNA, 864 nt
Filed under: Enterobacter hormaechei
Lineage: Bacteria; Pseudomonadati; Pseudomonadota; Gammaproteobacteria; Enterobacterales; Enterobacteriaceae
Description: partial 23S ribosomal RNA
Rfam family: Bacterial large subunit ribosomal RNA
Source: RNAcentral
ACAGUGGACGCGAGCAUCUUUGUGGCUCAAGUUUUUAAGGGCGCACGGUGGAUGCCUUGGCACCAGGAACCGAAGAAGGACGUAGGAAUCUGCGAUAAGCCUCGGGGAGUCGAUAACCAGACUUUGAUCCGAGGAUUUCCGAAUGGGGAAACCCGGCUGGAGGCAAGUCCAGUCACUCCUGCCUGAAUAUAUAGGGCAGGUAGAGGGAACGCGGGGAAGUGAAACAUCUCAGUACCCGCAGGAAGAGAAAACAAUAGUGAUUCCGUGAGUAGUGGCGAGCGAAAGCGGAUGAGGCCAAACCGGGUCUGUGUGAUAGCUGUCAGGCGUUGCAGGUCCGGGGUUGUGGGAGCUUUUUCACGAUGCUGACAUGUCGUGGUGGAGUAAAAAAUCCUUGUCAUAGUCGAAGGGUCUUGAAUGGCCCGGCACAGAGGGUGCGACCCCCGUAGACGAAAUGGCGUGGACUCCAUGGAAGAUUUCCCAAGUAGCACGGGGCCCGAGAAAUCCCGUGUGAAUCUGGCGGGACCACCCGCUAAGCCUAAAUAUUCCCUGGUGACCGAUAGCGGACAAGUACCGUGAGGGAAAGGUGAAAAGUACCCCGGGAGGGGAGUGAAAUAGAUCCUGAAACCGUGCGCUUACAAUCCGUCGGAGCCUCCUUGUGGGGUGACGGCGUGCCUUUUGAAGAAUGAGCCUGCGAGUUAGUGCUCAGUGGCAAGGUUAACCCGUGUGGGGAAGCCGUAGCGAAAGCGAGUCCGAAUAGGGCGUUUGAGUCGCUGGGUCUAGACCCGAAGCGGAGUGAUCUACCCAUGGCCAGGUUGAAGCGACGGUAAGACGUCGUGGAGGACCGAACCCACUUAGGUUGAAAAC